Molecule: ribosomal RNA, 253 nt
Filed under: uncultured bacterium
Lineage: Bacteria
Description: partial 16S ribosomal RNA
Rfam family: Bacterial small subunit ribosomal RNA
Source: RNAcentral
UACGUAGGGAGCAAGCGUUGUUCGGAUUUACUGGGCGUAAAGGGCGCGUAGGCGGCGCGGUAAGUCACUUGUGAAAUCUCUGAGCUUAACUCAGAACGGCCAAGUGAUACUGCAGUGCUAGAGUGCAGAAGGGGCAAUCGGAAUUCUUGGUGUAGCGGUGAAAUGCGUAGAGAUGUGGAGGAACACCAGUGGCGAAGGCGACUCUUUGGUCUGUAACUGACGCUGAGGCGCGAAAGCGUGGGGAGCAAACAGG